AGCGGCGAGGCUAUUCCAGUAA
Molecule: microRNA, 22 nt
Filed under: Drosophila simulans
Lineage: Eukaryota; Metazoa; Arthropoda; Insecta; Diptera; Drosophilidae
Description: Dsi-Mir-986_3p* (star (passenger))
Source: RNAcentral